Molecule: ribosomal RNA, 460 nt
Filed under: uncultured bacterium
Lineage: Bacteria
Description: partial 16S ribosomal RNA
Rfam family: Bacterial small subunit ribosomal RNA
Source: RNAcentral
CCUACGGGGGGCAGCAGUGAUUAAUAUUUUUCCCUUUCCUUCCUUCUUCCCCCUCCCUUCCUCUUUCCUGAAGCCUGCUCUCUUCUUUUUAAACUGCUUUUGUACAAGGGUAAACCUGAAUACGUGUAUUCAGCUGAAAGUACUGUACGAAUAAGGAUCGGCUAACUCCGUGCCAGCAGCCGCGGUAAUACGGAGGAUCCAAGCGUUAUCCGGAUUUAUUGGGUUUAAAGGGUGCGUAGGCGGAUUGAUAAGUUAGAGGUGAAAUGUCCGAGCUUAACUCGGGAACUGCCUCUAAUACUGUUGAUCUAGAGAGUAGAUGCGGUAGGCGGAAUGUAUGGUGUAGCGGUGAAAUGCUUAGAGAUCAUACAGAACACCGAUUGCGAAGGCAGCUUACCAAUCUAUAUCUGACGUUGAGGCACGAAAGCGUGGGGAGCAAACAGGAUUAGAUACCCGAGUAGUC